This 357-nucleotide long non-coding RNA is filed under the name Rosa chinensis. RNAcentral describes it as "sRNA RchiOBHm_Chr3g0482881". Lineage: Eukaryota; Viridiplantae; Streptophyta; Magnoliopsida; Rosales; Rosaceae. The record is from RNAcentral.
CGGGUACUGAAGCGGACGUCCGCACUUCGCUAAAGUGCGGACGUCAACACAGUAGGCGGGUUCCAGGCGACGCGACGCAGCAGGCGGGUUCCAGGCGACGGCGGCGGAGUGGGGCUGGCUGGAGGGAGGCCGGAGGCGUCCUAGACCUCUUUUGGGCGGCGUUCGAGGUCGGAGGAGGUCGGGCUUGCCGGUUUCUAGGCAGCCACCUCACCUGCAGUUGCAGGUUCUGUGCAGCACCGCAUAAUCGUCGCCGGCGACUCCACCGCACUGCAUACCCCUCCGCACGACCCCCGGCGUCCCUCCGGCAAGCCGCACCGCGCCGUCGCCGCUCGAUCGAGGCCAGAGGAGCGACGUCCG